RNAcentral lists this ribosomal RNA (693 nucleotides) under uncultured Bacilli bacterium. RNAcentral's name for it is "bacterial SSU rRNA". It matches the Rfam family "Bacterial small subunit ribosomal RNA", at positions 61 to 728 of the family's 1533-position model. The record is from RNAcentral. Lineage: Bacteria; Bacillati; Bacillota; Bacilli.
GCCUAGAUGAAUUUGGUGCUUGCACCAAAUGAAACUAGAUACAAGCGAGCGGCGGACGGGUGAGUAACACGUGGGUAACCUGCCCAAGAGACUGGGAUAACACCCGGAAACAGAUGCUAAUACCGGAUAACAACACUAGACGCAUGUCUAGAGUUUAAAAGAUGGUUCUGCUAUCACUCUUGGAUGGACCUGCGGUGCAUUAGCUAGUUGGUAAGGUAACGGCUUACCAAGGCAAUGAUGCAUAGCCGAGUUGAGAGACUGAUCGGCCACAUUGGGACUGAGACACGGCCCAAACUCCUACGGGAGGCAGCAGUAGGGAAUCUUCCACAAUGGACGCAAGUCUGAUGGAGCAACGCCGCGUGAGUGAAGAAGGGUUUCGGCUCGUAAAGCUCUGUUGGUAGUGAAGAAAGAUAGAGGUAGUAACUGGCCUUUAUUUGACGGUAAUUACUUAGAAAGUCACGGCUAACUACGUGCCAGCAGCCGCGGUAAUACGUAGGUGGCAAGCGUUGUCCGGAUUUAUUGGGCGUAAAGCGAGUGCAGGCGGUUCAAUAAGUCUGAUGUGAAAGCCUUCGGCUCAACCGGAGAAUUGCAUCAGAAACUGUUGAACUUGAGUGCAGAAGAGGAGAGUGGACUCCAUGUGUAGCGGUGGAAUGCGUAGAUAUAUGGAAGACAGCCAGUGGCGAAGGCGGCUCU